UACAGAGGUCCCAAGCGUUGUUCGGAUUCACUGGGCGUAAAGGGUGCGUAGGUGGCCAGGUAAGUUCGGUGUGAAAGCUCAGAGCUUAACUCCGAAAUGGCAUUGAAUACUAUCUGGCUAGAGGGUCGGAGGGGAGACUGGAAUUCUCGGUGUAGCAGUGAAAUGCGUAGAUAUCGAGAGGAACACCAGUGGCGAAGGCGAGUCUCUGGACGACUCCUGACACUGAGGCACGGAAAGCCAGGGAGCAAACAGG
RNAcentral lists this ribosomal RNA (253 nucleotides) under uncultured bacterium. RNAcentral's name for it is "partial 16S ribosomal RNA". It matches the Rfam family "Bacterial small subunit ribosomal RNA", at positions 524 to 776 of the family's 1533-position model. The record is from RNAcentral.